UACGAAGGGGGCUAGCGUUGUUCGGAAUUACUGGGCGUAAAGCGCGCGUAGGCGGCUUUGUAAGUUAGAGGUGAAAGCCCGGGGCUCAACUCCGGAACUGCCUUUAAGACUGCAUCGCUUGAAUCCGGGAGAGGUGAGUGGAAUUCCGAGUGUAGAGGUGAAAUUCGUAGAUAUUCGGAAGAACACCAGUGGCGAAGGCGGCUCACUGGACCGGUAUUGACGCUGAGGUGCGAAAGCGUGGGGAGCAAACAGG
Molecule: ribosomal RNA, 253 nt
Filed under: uncultured bacterium
Lineage: Bacteria
Description: partial 16S ribosomal RNA
Rfam family: Bacterial small subunit ribosomal RNA
Source: RNAcentral